Molecule: ribosomal RNA, 492 nt
Filed under: uncultured bacterium
Lineage: Bacteria
Description: partial 16S ribosomal RNA
Rfam family: Bacterial small subunit ribosomal RNA
Source: RNAcentral
AGUGAACGCUGGCGGUAGGCCUAACACAUGCAAGUCGAACGGCAGCACAGUAAGAGCUUGCUCUUACGGGUGGCGAGUGGCGGACGGGUGAGGAAUACAUCGGAAUCUACUUUUUCGUGGGGGAUAACGUAGGGAAACUUACGCUAAUACCGCAUCCGACCUACGGGUGAAAGCAGGGGAUCUUCGGACCUUGCGCGAUUGAAUGAGCCGAUGUCGGAUUAGCUAGUUGGCGGGGUAAAGGCCCACCAAGGCGACGAUCCGUAGCUGGUCUGAGAGGCUGAUCGGCCGCAUUGGAACUGGGACACGGUCCAGGCGCCUGCGGGAGGGAGCAGUGGGGAACAUGGGGCAAUGGGCGGAAGUAUUGUCCAGCCAUACCGCGUGUGUGAAGAAGGCGUUGCGGUUGUAAAGACCUUUUGUUGGGAAAGAAAAGCAGCAGGUUGAGACCCCGCUGUUCUGACGGUAACCAAAGAAUAAGCACCGGCUAACUUCGUG